This 119-nucleotide ribosomal RNA is filed under the name Petromyzon marinus (sea lamprey). Lineage: Eukaryota; Metazoa; Chordata; Hyperoartia; Petromyzontiformes; Petromyzontidae. The record is from RNAcentral.
UCUUACAACCAAAUCGUACUGAAUGUGUUCGAUCUCAUGAGAUCCUGGAAGCUAAGCACGGUUGGGCCCGGUUAGAACUUGGAUGGGAUCCUUCCUGGGAAUACCAGGUAUCGUAAGCU